Thalassophryne amazonica is the source of this 118-nucleotide long non-coding RNA. RefSeq lists it as uncharacterized. The transcript is spliced from 3 exons. The record is from RefSeq and is a predicted model, not a curated record. Lineage: Eukaryota; Metazoa; Chordata; Actinopteri; Batrachoidiformes; Batrachoididae.
CUGUAAAAAUCCAUAAAUUAGCCGCAUCAUUGUUUAAGCCACAGUGUUCAAAGUGUGUGGAAAAAAGUAGCAGCUUACAGUCCGGAAAUUACGGACUCAUGUAUAAAUAAAUGUAGAU